This 130-nucleotide non-coding RNA is filed under the name Lentimicrobium saccharophilum. RNAcentral's name for it is "FMN riboswitch aptamer (RFN element)". It matches the Rfam family "FMN riboswitch aptamer (RFN element)". Rfam says of the family: The RFN element is a highly conserved domain that is found frequently in the 5'-untranslated regions of prokaryotic mRNAs that encode for flavin mononucleotide (FMN) biosynthesis and transport proteins. Lineage: Bacteria; Pseudomonadati; Bacteroidota; Bacteroidia; Bacteroidales; Lentimicrobiaceae. RNAcentral also lists the same sequence under 1 other name. The record is from Rfam by way of RNAcentral.
ACAAUUCUUCAGGGCAGGGUGAAAUUCCCGAUCGGCGGUAGAGUCCGCGACUCAAACAGCAAAUAUGCUGAAUGACUGAACCGGUUAAAUUCCGGUACCGACAGUAAAGUCUGGAUGGAAGAAGAAUCUG